CCUACGGGAGGCAGCAGUGAGGAAUAUUGGUCAAUGGGCGCGAGCCUGAACCAGCCAAGUAGCGUGAAGGAUGACUGCCCUACGGGUUGUAAACUUCUUUUAUAAAGGAAUAAAGUGAGGCACGUGUGCCUUUUUGUAUGUACUUGAUGAAUAAGGAUCGGCUAACUCCGUGCCAGCAGCCGCGGUAAUACGGAGGAUCCGAGCGUUAUCCGGAUUUAUUGGGUUUAAAGGGAGCGUAGAUGGGUUGUUAAGUCAGUGGUGAAAGUUUGCGGCUCAACCCUAAAAUUGCAAUUGAUACUGGCAGCCUUGAGUACAGUUGAGGUAGGCGGAAUUCGUAGUGUAGCGGUGAAAUGCUUAGAUAUCGCGCAGAACUCCGAUUGCGAAGGCAGCAUACUAACCUGCCACUGACAUUGAUGCUCGAAAGUGUGGGUAUCAAACAGGAUUAGAUACCCGGGUAGUC
Molecule: ribosomal RNA, 460 nt
Filed under: uncultured bacterium
Lineage: Bacteria
Description: partial 16S ribosomal RNA
Rfam family: Bacterial small subunit ribosomal RNA
Source: RNAcentral